GACGAACGCUGGCGGCGUGCUUAACACAUGCAAGUCGAACGGAAAGGCCCUGCUUUUGUGGGGUGCUCGAGUGGCGAACGGGUGAGUAACACGUGAGUAACCUGCCCUUGACUUUGGGAUAACUUCAGGAAACUGGGGCUAAUACCGGAUAGGAGCUCCUGCUGCAUGGUGGGGGUUGGAAAGUUUCGGCGGUUGGGGAUGGACUCGCGGCUUAUCAGCUUGUUGGUGGGGUAGUGGCUUACCAAGGCUUUGACGGGUAGCCGGCCUGGGAUGGUGACCGGCCACAUUGGGACUGAGAUACGGCCCAGACUCCUACGGGAGGCAGCAGUGGGGAAUAUUGCACAAUGGGCGGAAGCCUGAUGCAGCAACGCCGCGUGCGGGAUGACGGCCUUCGGGUUGUAAACCGCUUUCGCCUGUGACGAAGCGUGAGUGACGGUAAUGGGUAAAGAAGCACCGGCUAACUACGUG
This 468-nucleotide ribosomal RNA is filed under the name uncultured bacterium. RNAcentral's name for it is "partial 16S ribosomal RNA". It matches the Rfam family "Bacterial small subunit ribosomal RNA", at positions 28 to 507 of the family's 1533-position model. The record is from RNAcentral.